This 641-nucleotide ribosomal RNA is filed under the name Salmonella enterica. Its description in RNAcentral is "partial 23S ribosomal RNA". It matches the Rfam family "Bacterial large subunit ribosomal RNA", at positions 580 to 1221 of the family's 2925-position model. Lineage: Bacteria; Pseudomonadati; Pseudomonadota; Gammaproteobacteria; Enterobacterales; Enterobacteriaceae. The record is from RNAcentral. RNAcentral also lists the same sequence under 2 other names.
CAGGUUUACCUGUGUGACUGCGUACCUUUUGUAUAAUGGGUCAGCGACUUAUAUUCUGUAGCAAGGUUAACCGAAUAGGGGAGCCGGAGGGAAACCGAGUCUUAAUUGGGCGUUAAGUUGCAGGGUAUAGACCCGAAACCCGGUGAUCUAGCCAUGGGCAGGUUGAAGGUUGGGUAACACUAACUGGAGGACCGAACCGACUAAUGUUGAAAAAUUAGCGGAUGACCUGUGGCUGGGGGUGAAAGGCCAAUCAAACCGGGAGAUAGCUGGUUCUCCCCGAAAGCUAUUUAGGUAGCGCCUCGUGAAUUCAUCUCCGGGGGUAGAGCACUGUUUCGGCUAGGGGGCCAUCCCGGCUUACCAACCCGAUGCAAACUGCGAAUACCGGAGAAUGUUAUCACGGGAGACACACGGCGGGUGCUAACGUCCGUCGUGAAGAGGGAAACAACCCAGACCGCCAGCUAAGGUCCCAAAGUCAUGGUUAAGUGGGAAACGAUGUGGGAAGGCCCAGACAGCCAGGAUGUUGGCUUAGAAGCAGCCAUCAUUUAAAGAAAGCGUAAUAGCUCACUGGUCGAGUCGGCCUGCGCGGAAGAUGUAACGGGGCUAAACCAUGCACCGAAGCUGCGGCAGCGACGCUUAUGCGU